CUGACUUUUCAAAGAACACUUAAGUCUCCUCUUCAGUGUCCUCUAGAGUCAUAGAGCUUAUGGAAUGAAUAAGAUAGACAGACAGACAGACGGGCAGACAGACAGACAGACAGACAGACAGACAGACAGAAGGGGCUAUAGUCCAACUAAUUCAACAAUGGCCAGCCAUGAACGGGAAAUAAAUUAUCUUGUUCUUAUGUUGUCAAGUAAUACCUCUACGACACAGAUUCUCCAGGUAGGGCUGACAUGGCUUAGCAGGCAAGAGCAAAGGACCCAGAUUCAGCUUCCAGCACCCACACAGCAGCUCGCAACCAUCUAUAACUCUAAUUCUUUGGGAUUCAACACCGUCUUCUGGCCUUGGCAAGUUAUGCACAAGCAUACGUUCAGACAAAAACAUCCAUACACAUAAAAUAAAAGUAAGAAGAAAAACCUUUAAGAUUCUACAGACACUCAAACUGGUUGACUAGUACUUCCUGAUUGUGGGGAGUUGGAAUGUUGUAGAUCCUCAGCCAGUAUUACCUUUAGUCCCCCUCAGCACCAUUUAUCAUCUACCCUAGUAUCUGCUUUAAUAUCCAUCCACUUGACUGUUAGCUAUAAGUAUAUAAAGAUGGACACUCACUGGGAUUUCUAGAUUCUUAUGUCCCUGAACAAAUGUGAGGACAGAGAUGUAGAUGGCAACAUGGGCAUGAGAUGACAAAGAGAGUUUAUUGACAUUCAUUGGAAAAGAGAAAAGCCAAAUCCCAGAGAGAGAGAUGACACCAUUAAGAGGAAGCAGGACCAUGAAAGUCAAGAAAAUACUUUAUCUUAUGGGCCAUUUGCUCAAAGAUUCAUAUCUAGAUAGGCAGGUAUCUCACUAUCUCAUUAAGUAGUAAAUAGUAUACUACAUGUCUUUUUGACACUAGCCAUGUAGUCAGGGUGCCACAGGUCCUCGGUAGCUAUGCUCCAGAUGCUUGUAUACAGUAAGUCAUGACCUAGUUGAUAAAGUGUGGAAAUUUUGUUUUCAUUCCUGAUCUGUCUCUACAAAAACAUUCCACUAGUCAAGACAAGUCAUGUGGCAAAGCCAGCAUCAAUGGAUCAGGAAUACACCAUCUCUCAUAAUGUCAACAAGGCCACAUGACAGAAUAUUGGAGAUAUAACAUAAUUGGUAGCCAAUCAGGACACGGGGAGGAAAUCAGGACCAGCCAAGCUAACCAGAUGUAGCACUUCACAGCUUGAAUGUGUCACUCAAGCCUGUUGAUUCUGCUCACAUGACGUGUCAGAAUCCCAGACAGUACGUAAGUCUAAUUUUUACUAAUCCCAGACUAUGGCUCCAUUUCCACAAAAUGGACAGGUCAUUUCUGUCUAGAAAGGUCUAGAAAUAUAAAGAAAUCAAAACCCCCUAUUUUAUCUGACCUCUUCCUCAGAGGCAGAAUAUCUUUACUCUAGUCAUUUCCUGUUGCCUCCCUUAGAAAAACAAUUGCUAUUGGUUAUUGUGACAAGUGUUUUAAAAAUUGAAUUGUGUUCAUCUGGUUUAAGAUUUGACUAAUGAGUUUGGAAUCUCACUUUGAGCUAACAUUGUCCAGGCACUUUAAAAAGUCACCUAGAUAACAGAUUGCCUAACAUAAAGAGCUGUGUUUGGUUUCAAGGUAAUUCUAGUUCAUCUGGUGGUUUAUUAGCUGUGAUCAAAUCUGGCUGAAAGUGUCCAGAAGGACAGAGAAAGGGCGGAAAAUCAAAGACCUCACCUUGCCUACAUCUACACAGCCAAGAGUCACCGCGUGCAUUAGUAGAAGCUCCAGCUGUUAGAGGACACAAUUUCAUUCUUCUUUUACAAAAUUGUACAGAGCUGUGAAAUUUCUCAACAGUCUGGUCCUUCCAUUCAUAAUGAUACUUACCUUUGCCUGAUCCAAAGGAUGACAAAAAGCCCUGUCUAAACUAAGAGAUCAGAGGGGGUUCUCACAGGGAUUCCAGGGAGGAAGAAAAAGAAAAUCACCAGCCCCACUCACCUUCUGCGCACUCAUACACAUGCUCUAUUGCUAAGGAUUACAUCAUACUAUAGAUCUUCUCCAAUAUGGGACAGUGACCUCUAAAAAGUCAUCGUGACCCUUUUCUGUUUUUCUGAGACCUUAGAACACAGCACACUUCUAUCCAAUGAAUUUCUUUUCCCACCUGCUCUUAGAAAUCAACCAAGAAAGUACCCUUUAUCCUUACAGACUGCCACAAAACAAGAGACAGAGUCUGCAUUAAAGCAGACACAAGAUAUAGACAUAAGUUGCCUGUUCUGCACCCAUGGAACUUCCUGGACGUCCAUUCGCUUUCUGACCUUUCCUGCCCAUGCUUCAGACGGAGCAACCCAUUCUUCAUGGCCUUCCAGGCUGUCACGUCUGUUGUUCGCCGUCCGUGGACACCAAAGUGGAGAGCUGGCUCUCCUUGAAACAGCUUGAGAAAAAUUCCAAUGUGGCUCCCGGUUCUGACCUCCCGAGGACUUUCGGACAGAGCAAAUACAUCUCUGCAAAGUCAGAUGUUUAAGGCGAAGGCUAAAACGAAGUCCGAGCUUUUACUUUAGACUUUGCCCGUCAGCCUGCCGUCUUCCCAGGCUUACUUCCCGCCUCCCCUCUGUCUUAACCAGAUCACACCAGGCUCUCUCGGUUCCUGCUGCUUUCCCGAAUCCUCAUCCCUGAAGUCUCAGCGCACCUGUCCUGUCACCUCCAUGAAACUCCUGCAUCACCCUGUUUGGACGUAAUCUGAGCUCGCUGGGCUCUUCCUACCUCACGGGGCUUUUCUUCUGCUCUUGUGAUGGUCCGUGUGUGAAGCAAGACCCAUACGAAAAGGAUCCUGUGUAGGAGGCUUGGCCGUGGUUGAGGGCGCCGUUGAAGAUGAUUGAAUGUUAAGUGUGUUAACCUCUCCUGGCUUUUAGAUGAGGCCUAUAGGUUGCCGGGAGCAUCAAUUUGGAAGGUAUCUUUUUUUUUCUUUUAACUUUUUAUUGAUUUUUUUAUGAGUUUUACAUUAUGCACCCCAGUUCUUCUCAGCCCCCUGUCCCUUCAUAUCCACCCUUCGUCCUUGCAACCCCCCCCAAAAAAUAAAAAAUGCACAAAUAAGCAAACAACAACAACAAAAAAUAAGCAAAAAAAACCCAAAGCACAGAAAGCCUCUCAUCACGGAAGCUGGAGGGUGUCCCAGAAUAUAUAUCCCUCUGUUCGUUGCGCUGAGUCAUUGUUCUGGUUAGAGAUCUCUGGCUUCUGUGACACCAUCAAUAUUGGAUCCUCACCGGGCCUCCUCCCAGUUAUCCUGUGUUGGCCUGUGUCAUAGAGAUCUGGCAGCUUUGGAUCAGCAGUCCUGGCCUUUGCAUGUGUCCCAACCAUCCAUAGAUAACGGAUUUUUGGGUGAGUCAACUCAGAGCUUUGGAUCUGGGCCUGGGUGGUAGCUAAGCUGGUCAGAGCCCCCACUCUCCCUUAUCAGCACCACCAGGGCGAGUUCUCCAGCACUGUCCCAGCUAGGACACCCAGUACCACCCAUGCAGGGUCAGCUCUCACGCCCUCCAGGCCAACUCACCUGCACCCCUGCCUCCAGAGUCGGCUUCGCUGUGCUGCCCAGUCAAGGUGUGAGGCCCACUCUCCCUAGUGCUUCACCCAGUGAGAGAAAGAGCCAACUCACCCUUCCUCAUGAUCCCAGCCCAUGCCACCUCAUGGCAGACGAGGGCCAGCUCUCCUUCACUUUUUCCCAGCUCACCUGAGCCACCUCCACUAGGGUGAGCUCUACUGUGCUGCACAGGUGAGGUGUAGGGCCAGCUCACCCACUCUCAUGACCCCAGGGUCAGCUCUCCUAUACUCAUGGGGAGGGGUAUUGACUCACACCUCCAUCACCAGGGUCAGCUGUGUUGUCUGGGUGAGGUGCAGGGCCCAGUGCCACCUGUGACAGGUAGGCCCAACUCUCCAGAGCACAACAGCCAGUGAGAAGCAGGGCCAGCUCUGCAUGGGUCCACCUGGACGUCCACCUGGGCCACAGCAGCUGCCCCAACCGGGGAUGUCCCUAUGUUCCCUAGUGGUAAUAUGAACCACGGACAUCAACACCAACUUCUGCUUCUGUGUAGCCCCAGACCCAGACAUGGCCCUCAGUGGCAACUCAGGCUGGGGCCUCAUCAUGACCCCAGGUGGUAGGACUGGCCACUUACAACGGGCUGCUCCUCUCUCCCCUCGAGUCUCCAUUUUCCUUCCUCUUCCACCUGUCCACCACAUAUUGCACAUUGUGGUGGCUCCCACUGCAGGCUGACCACAAAGCUGACUCCCUGUGGUGAGCCCCCGGGUGACAUCCUCUGGCAAGCAGGUAUCUACAGCUCUCUGUGCCAUGUACUGGAGGGUAGGUCUGUGGGUGGCAUGGCCGUCAGCAGGUCUCUGUCUGUCUUCCUCCUCCCAUGCUGCACUGCCUGGAUUUGACUUGAUAUUUUUUAUAUGUCCUAGGCAUAAAACAGCUUUGGCCACCUUCCUUGAAAUCAAACUAUACUAAACAAAGAACUGCCAUCCACUCUGCCCCUAACAACACUACUGACAAGUGUUCUGCCUCGCUCCGGUCCCACCACGAUGGAGUCAGCCUUCAAUAAACAAAAACCUUCAAGUCAUGGGCCCAAAUACAUCUCUCCCCCACCCCACGACGGCAUCCAUCUCAGAUGCUUUCAGGAGUGAUGUAAAGUGACCAACUCGCUGUCUUAUUCUACAGGCUCUCAUAAAACCCGUCUCCCGGACCGACAAUAAAUUAUCUGUAGUAAGACCUCG
This 4745-nucleotide small RNA is filed under the name Rattus norvegicus (Norway rat). RNAcentral's name for it is "uncharacterized LOC102553702". Lineage: Eukaryota; Metazoa; Chordata; Mammalia; Rodentia; Muridae. The record is from RNAcentral.